RNAcentral lists this transfer RNA (86 nucleotides) under Firmicutes bacterium ADurb.Bin080. RNAcentral's name for it is "tRNA-Leu". It matches the Rfam family "tRNA". Rfam says of the family: Transfer RNA (tRNA) molecules are approximately 80 nucleotides in length. Lineage: Bacteria; Bacillati; Bacillota. RNAcentral also lists the same sequence under 1 other name. The record is from RNAcentral.
GCGAAAGUGGCGGAAUUGGCAGACGCGCUGGACUUAGGAUCCAGUGAGGAUAACUCAUAGGGGUUCAAGUCCCCUCUUUCGCACCA